UUUAUAUAGUAUAAAUAUUAUAAUUGAUUUCCAAUCAAAAGAUCUUUUUAAAAGUAUAAAUA
This 62-nucleotide transfer RNA is filed under the name Endomychus coccineus. RNAcentral's name for it is "tRNA-Gly". Lineage: Eukaryota; Metazoa; Arthropoda; Insecta; Coleoptera; Endomychidae. The record is from RNAcentral.